GACGGAGGAUGCAAGUGUUAUCCGGAAUCACUGGGCGUAAAGAGUAUGUAGGCGGCUAUUUAAGUCAGGCGAGCAAGCCCACGGCUCAACCGUGGAAUUGCGUUUGAAACUAUUUAGCUUGAGUUCAGGAGAGGAAGGCGGAAUUCCCAGUGUAGCGGUGAAAUGCAUUGAUAUUGGGAAGAACACCGGUGGCGAAGGCGGCCUUCUGGUCUGAUACUGACGCUGAGAUACGAAAGCCAGGGGAGCGAACGGG
RNAcentral lists this ribosomal RNA (253 nucleotides) under uncultured bacterium. Its description in RNAcentral is "partial 16S ribosomal RNA". It matches the Rfam family "Bacterial small subunit ribosomal RNA", at positions 524 to 776 of the family's 1533-position model. The record is from RNAcentral.